UGUCUUGGGCUGCACACGUGCUACAAUGGCCGGUACAAAGAGCUGCGAUGCCGUGAGGCGGAGCGAAUCUCAAAAAGCCGGUCUCAGUUCGGAUUGGGGUCUGCAACUCGACCCCAUGAAGUCGGAGUUGCUAGUAAUCGCAGAUCAGCAUUGCUGCGGUGAAUACGUUCCCGGGCCUUGUACACACCGCCCGUCACGUCACGAAAGUCGGUAACACCCGAAGCCGGUGGCCCAACCCCUUGUGGGAGGGAGCUGUCGAAGGUGGGACUGGCGAUUGGGACGAAGUCGUAACAAGGUAGCCGUACCGGAAGGUGCGGCUGGAUCACCUCCUUUCUAAGGAGCACAGUACCGAUUGCAGGCAAACGUUCUGCACGGUCAGCUCAUGGGUGGAACGUUGAUUAGUUGGCACAGUCUCUCUCCGAGAAACCGUUAGUACUGCUUCGGCGUGGAAAACGGGCUUCGAGGAACGGACUGUGCUUGGCACGUUGUUGGGUGUCUGAGGGUACGGCCGUAAGGUUUGUAUCUUCGCGAUGCCGGCCCCAGUGCACUCAUCUGCUUGUCGGAUGGGGUGAUGGGUGGCUGGUCGUUGCUUGAGAACUACACAGUGGACGCGAGCAUCUGUGGCCAAGUUUUUUAAGGGCGC
RNAcentral lists this small RNA (643 nucleotides) under Streptomyces venezuelae. Its description in RNAcentral is "bacterial SSU rRNA". The stretch from base 1 to 333 matches the Rfam family "Bacterial small subunit ribosomal RNA", at positions 1205 to 1533 of the family's 1533-position model. The record is from RNAcentral. Lineage: Bacteria; Bacillati; Actinomycetota; Actinomycetes; Kitasatosporales; Streptomycetaceae.